UCGAAUCCUUAGGAUGUUGCUGGCCUCUCGGGGCACUGUGCACUCCGCCUUUUCAUCUCACCUGUGCACUUAUUGUAGGCCGGACUUGUAAUGAGUCUGUGUCUAUGUUUUCAAUAUACACCUUUUAAAAAAGUCUAUUGAAUGUCUUUGAAUUAAAGUAGACCUUUAUUGGUUGAAAAUAAAUUAAUA
RNAcentral lists this unclassified non-coding RNA (189 nucleotides) under uncultured Clavariaceae. RNAcentral describes it as "sequence contains ITS1". The record is from RNAcentral. Lineage: Eukaryota; Fungi; Basidiomycota; Agaricomycetes; Agaricales; Clavariaceae.